GUUGAUGUUCGUCACCUUGGUUCUCUCAGAGGAAGAUGUUCCAUUGUUUUCUCCUUCAUUAUUCCUGAUGUGUUCUCUGUCUCCGGCACAUUUACAUUUUCCUCAGUGUAAACAGAGAGUGUUUGAAUUGGGUGUUUGAAUUAAUUGGACCAUCACAGAGUGUAAUUAAUCAGCUGGAGUGAAGCCGUGUCGUCGACUCCUAUGCAGCCUGUCUCUCCCUCACAGGUUUUGUGUGCACUGGAUUCGCUCCGUCUGUCAGCGGAGGGAUGGAAUGAAAGGAGAACAUUUGGAGAGAUAGCAGAGCGGAAGAAUAGAGAGAAAUUAAUUAUGCUGGGAAUGAAGGGUGACAGUGCCAGUUUUUGAAAGUGUUUAAUUGAACCCUUUUACACAUUUAACUAAGCCAACACAAGCACAUGACACUCGUCUGCCAGAGAGAGAGAGAGAGAGAGAGAGGGGCAAUGCACUAAAAGCUUGAGCCACUGUGACACGUGGUGUUUACGCAUACAAACUUGCAUCUUGUUCACUAAUCACCCGCAAUCCAUGUACUUAAACAGCACUUCAUCUCAAUGAAUUUAAAUUUGAAUUCUUUAUUAGAUUAUUACUGAUGCACAGUUAAACUCCCUUAAGUGCAGAUGUAUUGAAAAUAUUUGUGUGUGUGUGUGUGUGUGUCAGGUAGUGAUGCCACCGUUCUCCGUGUGUUUGGCUCUCAUCUUCUCACUGAUUGUUCCCCGUUUGUUGAAUAUCCCAAUCUGGAGCUUCGGCCCUGGAUGUGUGGAGCUUCACAGAAAACCUUCUAUAGUUUUGAUGAUCCUGGUUUCACCAGAAUUUGGGAUGCGCUGCAUGAGCACCAACCCCAUACCAGAACUCAAAACACCACAGACACCCUACACAACCUCACGGCCCGAAAUAUGACCGACUUUCUGCUCAAGAGCUACCAGAUAUCAGGAAAAAUACGGGUGACGACUUCUACGGAUGUGGUGGUGUUGAUCUGCGUGUUCUUGCCAUGUCCUUCAUCCCGACCAGCUUCAUCCUCUUCCUCAUCCAGGAGCGCGUCAGUUCGUGAGCGUCAACCCCACCCUCUACUGGCUGGCCAGCUUCGCCUGAGACAUGGUACACCAGAAGCCCUUCUGCUCCGGAAGACGGAUGGGAUGGGGACAGGCACGCGAGAGCUAAAAAGAGGAGCUGAGAUAGCUAAUUAAAACUCUAUUAAAACUCUAUCAAUUUCCCGCUGAAUCCUGUUCUCUGCCUCCAUUGGUCCUGACAGCGAGACUCUCUUGUCAUGAGCUACAGUCUCAGCGGAGAGAGAUGAUUUCACCUUCCCUAAUAAAUCACUAAUAAAUCAAUUAGUGUCA
Cyprinus carpio (common carp) is the source of this 1352-nucleotide long non-coding RNA. The record is from Ensembl. Lineage: Eukaryota; Metazoa; Chordata; Actinopteri; Cypriniformes; Cyprinidae.